CAGCAGCCGCGGGAAUACGAAGGGUGCAAGCGUUACUCGGAAUUACUGGGCGUAAAGCGUGCGUAGGUGGUGGUUUAAGUCCGUUGUGAAAGCCCUGGGCUCAACCUGGGAAUUGCAGUGGAUACUGGAUCACUAGAGUGUGGUAGAGGAUAGUGGAAUUUCCGGUGUAGCAGUGAAAUGCGUAGAGAUCGGAAGGAACAUCUGUGGCGAAGGCGACUAUCUGGGCCAACACUGACACUGAGGCACGAAAGCGUGGGGAGCAAACAGGAUUAGAUACCCGUGUAGUCCCUGUCUCUUAUAC
RNAcentral lists this ribosomal RNA (301 nucleotides) under uncultured bacterium. RNAcentral describes it as "partial 16S ribosomal RNA". It matches the Rfam family "Bacterial small subunit ribosomal RNA", at positions 509 to 807 of the family's 1533-position model. The record is from RNAcentral.